This 552-nucleotide ribosomal RNA is filed under the name Triticum aestivum (bread wheat). RNAcentral describes it as "partial small subunit ribosomal RNA". Lineage: Eukaryota; Viridiplantae; Streptophyta; Magnoliopsida; Poales; Poaceae. The record is from RNAcentral.
GUUCUCCGCAUUGGGACCUCCAUCUCGAUUGGACCCGGUGCCGCCACCUUGUUCUGGUUCGAGAGGUGGGUUGGGGAUCUCCCAUUUGCUGCUCGGUUCCUCGACUUGUUCUCCAUCGCGGUGGAACCUAGGAUCUCCGUCGAGGUCUGCCUUAUUGACUUGGGGAGCCUCACGUUCCGGCGGCCAUUUGGGCCUCCGGACCUUGUUGCGUGGCACGGGCUCCUUGACUGCAUCGCUCUUCAUGAGCCGGACGUGGAUCUAGCGACCGAUCGCAUAUCCUGGUGUCUGGAGCCUUCGGGUGUCUUUUCCACUAAAUCCAUGUACCAGGCCAUCAUGCGCACACCUACCCCUUUGCCUCUAUCUGCGGUGAGGAUUAUUAGACAGCCGCUGAAGAUUAGGAUCUUCUUGUGGUAAUGGAUUCAGGGUCGGAUCCCUUCAGGUGUGGAGGUCCUCAAGAGGAAUGGUCCUGGUGACGGGAUGUGCCCCCUAUGCGGGACAGACGAGGACUCGAAUCACAUAUUCUUCACUUGCUUGUCCGCUCAAUUCUUCUAG